CAUCGAUGAAGAACGUAGCGAAAUGCGAUACUUGGUGUGAAUUGCAGAAUCCCGUGAACCAUCGAGUCUUUGAACGCAAGUUGCGCCCGAGGCUAUUUGGCCGAGGGCACGCCUGCCUGGGCGUCAUGCC
Molecule: ribosomal RNA, 130 nt
Filed under: Asparagus officinalis (garden asparagus)
Lineage: Eukaryota; Viridiplantae; Streptophyta; Magnoliopsida; Asparagales; Asparagaceae
Also listed under: 5 other names
Description: 5.8S ribosomal RNA
Rfam family: 5.8S ribosomal RNA
About the family: 5.8S ribosomal RNA (5.8S rRNA) is a component of the large subunit of the eukaryotic ribosome. It is transcribed by RNA polymerase I as part of the 45S precursor that also contains 18S and 28S rRNA.
Source: RNAcentral